AUUGAACGCUGGCGGCAGGCCUAACACAUGCAAGUCGAACGGUAACAGGAAACAGCUUGCUGUUUCGCUGACGAGUGGCGGACGGGUGAGUAAUGUCUGGGAAACUGCCUGAUGGAGGGGGAUAACUACUGGAAACGGUAGCUAAUACCGCAUAACGUCGCAAGACCAAAGAGGGGGACCCUCGGGCCUCUUGCCAUCGGAUGUGCCCAGAUGGGAUUAGCUUGUUGGUGGGGUAACGGCUCACCAAGGCGACGAUCCCUAGCCGGUCUGAGAGGAUGACCAGCCACACUGGAACUGAGACACGGUCCAGACUCCUACGGGAGGCAGCAGUGGGGAAUAUUGCACAAUGGGCGCAAGCCUGAUGCAGCCAUGCCGCGUGUAUGAAGAAGGCCUUCGGGUUGUAAAGUACUUUCAGCGGGGAGGAAGGGAGUAAAGUUAAUACCUUUGCUCAUUGACGUUACCCGCAGAAGAAGCACCGGCUAACUCCGUG
Molecule: ribosomal RNA, 490 nt
Filed under: uncultured bacterium
Lineage: Bacteria
Description: partial 16S ribosomal RNA
Rfam family: Bacterial small subunit ribosomal RNA
Source: RNAcentral